Molecule: ribosomal RNA, 468 nt
Filed under: uncultured bacterium
Lineage: Bacteria
Description: partial 16S ribosomal RNA
Rfam family: Bacterial small subunit ribosomal RNA
Source: RNAcentral
GACGAACGCUGGCGGCGUGCUUAACACAUGCAAGUCGAACGGACAGGCCCUGCUUUUGUGGGGUGCUCGAGUGGCGAACGGGGGAGUGACACGUGAGUAACCUGCCCUUGACUUUGGGAUAACUUCAGGGAACUGGGGCUCAUACCGGAUAGGAGCUCCUGCUGCAUGGGGGGGGUUGGAAAGUGUCGGCGGUGGUGGAUGGACUAGCGGCUUACCAGCUUGUUGGGGGGGUAGUGGCUUACCAAGGCUUCGACGGGUAGCCGGCCUGGGAGGGUGGCCGGCCACAUUGGGCCUACGAGACGGCCCAGACGCCUACGGGAGGCAGCGGUGGGGAAUAUUGCACAAUGGGCGGACGCCUGAUGCAGCAACGCCGCGUGCGGGAUGACGGCCUUCGGGUUGUGAACCGCUUUCGCCUGUGACGAAGCGUGAGUGACGGUACUGGGUAAAGAAGCACCGGCUAACUACGUG